GGUUAAGUGAAUAAGGGCGCACGGUGGAUGCCUUGGCACUAGGAGCCGAUGAAGGACGGGACUAACACCGAUAUGCUUUGGGGAGCUGUAAGUAAGCUAUGAUCCAGAGAUUUCCGAAUGGGGGAACCCAAUAUCUUUUAUAGGAUAUUACUUUUCAGUGAAUACAUAGCUGAUUAGAGGUAGACGCAGAGAACUGAAACAUCUUAGUACCUGCAGGAAGAGAAAGAAAAUUCGAUUCCCUGAGUAGCGGCGAGCGAAACGGGAAGAGCCCAAACCAACAAGCUUGCUUGUUGGGGUUGUAGGACUCCAAUAUGGUAGUCUGUUAGUAUAGUUGAAGGAUUUGGAAAAUUCCGCUAAAGAGGGUGAAAGCCCCGUAGACGAAAUGCUAACAACACCUAGGAGGAUCCUGAGUACGGCGGAACACGAGAAAUUCCGUCGGAAUCCGCGGGGACCAUCCCGCAAGGCUAAAUACUCCCUAGUGACCGAUAGUGAACCAGUACCGUGAGGGAAAGGUGAAAAGCACCCCGGAAGGGGAGUGAAAUAGAUCCUGAAACCGUGUGCCUACAACAAGUCAAAGCUCGUUAAUGAGUGAUGGCGUGCCUUUUGUAGAAUGAACCGGCGAGUUACGAUUGCAUGCGAGGUUAAGUCGAAGAGACGGAGCCGCAGCGAAAGCGAGUCUGAAUAGGGCGAAUGAGUAUGUAGUCGUAGACCCGAAACCAUGUGAUCUACCCAUGUCCAGGUUGAAGGUGCGGUAAAACGCACUGGAGGACCGAACCCACGUACGUUGAAAAGUGCGGGGAUGAGGUGUGGGUAGCGGAGAAAUUCCAAACGAACUUGGAGAUAGCUGGUUCUCUCCGAAAUAGCUUUAGGGCUAGCCUCGGAAUUGAGAAUGAUGGAGGUAGAGCACUGUUUGGACUAGGGGCCCAUCUCGGGUUACCGAAUUCAGAUAAACUCCGAAUGCCAUUCAUUUAUAUCCGGGAGUCAGACUGCGAGUGAUAAGAUCCGUAGUCGAAAGGGAAACAGCCCAGACCACCAGCUAAGGUCCCAAAAUAUAUGUUAAGUGGAAAAGGAUGUGGGGUUGCACAGACAACUAGGAUGUUGGCUUAGAAGCAGCCACCAUUUAAAGAGUGCGUAAUAGCUCACUAGUCGAGUGACCCUGCGCCGAAAAUGUACCGGGGCUAAACAUAUUACCGAAGCUGUGGACUACACCAUUAGGUGUAGUGGUAGGAGAGCGUUCUAAGGGCGUUGAAGGUCGAUCGUGAGGACGGCUGGAGCGCUUAGAAGUGAGAAUGCCGGUAUGAGUAGCGAAAGACAGGUGAGAAUCCUGUCCACCGUAUGACUAAGGUUUCCUGGGGAAGGCUCGUCCGCCCAGGGUUAGUCGGGACCUAAGCCGAGGCCGAUAGGCGUAGGCGAUGGACAACAGGUUGAUAUUCCU
This 1435-nucleotide ribosomal RNA is filed under the name Enterococcus faecalis. RNAcentral's name for it is "partial 23S ribosomal RNA". It matches the Rfam family "Bacterial large subunit ribosomal RNA", at positions 1 to 1440 of the family's 2925-position model. Lineage: Bacteria; Bacillati; Bacillota; Bacilli; Lactobacillales; Enterococcaceae. The record is from RNAcentral.